This 77-nucleotide transfer RNA is filed under the name Ancylomarina salipaludis. RNAcentral describes it as "Ancylomarina sp. SHSM-M15 tRNA-Arg". It matches the Rfam family "tRNA". From Rfam's summary of the family: Transfer RNA (tRNA) molecules are approximately 80 nucleotides in length. Their secondary structure includes four short double-helical elements and three loops (D, anti-codon, and T loops). Further hydrogen bonds mediate the characteristic L-shaped molecular structure. tRNAs have two regions of fundamental functional importance: the anti-codon, which is responsible for specific mRNA codon recognition, and the 3' end, to which the tRNAs corresponding amino acid is attached (by aminoacyl-tRNA synthetases). tRNAs cope with the degeneracy of the genetic code in two manners: having more than one tRNA (with a specific anti-codon) for a particular amino acid; and 'wobble' base-pairing, i.e. permitting non-standard base-pairing at the 3rd anti-codon position. The record is from RNAcentral. Lineage: Bacteria; Pseudomonadati; Bacteroidota; Bacteroidia; Marinilabiliales; Marinifilaceae.
GGACGCGUAGCAUAACUGGAUAGUGCACCUCGUUACGGCCGAGGAGGUUGGGGGUUCGAAUCCCUCCGUGUUCACAA